RNAcentral lists this ribosomal RNA (253 nucleotides) under uncultured bacterium. Its description in RNAcentral is "partial 16S ribosomal RNA". It matches the Rfam family "Bacterial small subunit ribosomal RNA", at positions 524 to 776 of the family's 1533-position model. The record is from RNAcentral.
UACGUAGGGGGCGAGCGUUGUCCGGAUUUAUUGGGCGUAAAGAGCUCGUAGGCGGCUGUUCGAGUCGGGUGUGAAAUCCUGAGGCUUAACCUUGGGUCUGCAUUCGAUACUGGGCGGCUUGAGUCUGGUAGGGGGAUCUGGAAUUCCUGGUGUAGCGGUGGAAUGCGCAGAUAUCAGGAGGAACACCGGUGGCGAAGGCGGGAUCCUGGGCCAGUACUGACGCUGAGGAGCGAAAGCGUGGGGAGCGAACAGG